RNAcentral lists this ribosomal RNA (484 nucleotides) under uncultured bacterium. RNAcentral's name for it is "partial 16S ribosomal RNA". It matches the Rfam family "Bacterial small subunit ribosomal RNA", at positions 30 to 507 of the family's 1533-position model. The record is from RNAcentral.
AUUGAACGCUGGCGGCAGGCCUAACGCAUGCAAGUCGAGCGGAUGAAGGGAGCUUGCUCCUGGAUUCAGCGGCGGACGGGUGAGUAAUGCCUAGGAAUCUGCCCGGUAGUGGGGGAUAACGUCCGGAAACGGGCGCUAAUACCGCAUACGUCCUGAGGGAGAAAGUGGGGGAUCUUCGGACCUCACGCUAUCAGAUGAGCCUAGGUCGGAUUAGCUAGUUGGUGGGGUAAAGGCCUACCAAGGCGACGAUCCGUAACUGGUCUGAGAGGAUGAUCAGUCACACUGGAACUGAGACACGGUCCAGACUCCUACGGGAGGCAGCAGUGGGGAAUAUUGGACAAUGGGCGAAAGCCUGAUCCAGCCAUGCCGCGUGUGUGAAGAAGGUCUUCGGAUUGUAAAGCACUUUAAGUUGGGAGGAAGGGCAGUAAGUUAAUACCUUGCUGUUUUGACGUUACCAACAGAAUAAGCACCGGCUAACUUCGUG